Triticum aestivum (bread wheat) is the source of this 4658-nucleotide RNA transcript. RefSeq lists it as uncharacterized. The record is from RefSeq and is a predicted model, not a curated record. Lineage: Eukaryota; Viridiplantae; Streptophyta; Magnoliopsida; Poales; Poaceae. The transcript is spliced from 2 exons.
UGGGCCGAUGCGUGUGUUGCCGGCUUAUGCACCCGCGUCUGCCCUAUAGUGCUGAUGGGUGGACAGAAGUUUCUCUGGUCCCAUUCGUCGGUGGCCCUGGCUGCGCCUCUCGUCGCGGUCGGGAUUCGCCCGUGCGCUGCGCUCGCUCUACGGAACGUGCAAAAGGGUCAAAACCCUAGCCGCCAGCAGUUCUCGUCAAGCUCGCGCCCCCUCUGCCUCGUCUCCUCCCUGCUCCCUCCUCUCCCAUGACGCCGCCCUCGAGCCCGCGCCGCCUCCACCUCGUCUCCUCCCUUCUCCCUCCUCUACAACGCUGCCGCCCUCGAUGCGCCGUAAGGGACGCCGUUGACACGUCGGGGAUACGCAGCGGCGGAGCUCAGCCGAGCACAGCAGAAACCCACUCCUAACCCUAUUUGCUCGAUUGACAAGAGCAGGGCAACGGAUUGGAUCGAGGGCGCCCUGGCCUCACUGCCGCUGCACCUGGAUUCUCUAGCCGCUGCGUGGAGUCGCCCUGGCCACCGCGUCGAGUCACCUUCGUCGCCGCCGCGAGUCAGCUCCACUGUUGCCGCCAGGAAUCCCUUCCUGACAAGGUAACAUCCUCCAAAUCCCUGCUCUCCAUGGUCCUACUGCCCUGCUUGAUGUGUGUGUGGCUUCUAACUGGAGAGGGUCUCCGCCGGUGUCGGCCUGCACCGGUGAGGUCGGGCGCGACCUGGCUUCCAGGGCGGCUUGACUACAGUCUACAGGUGACCACGUCCCUUUUCUCCCCUUCUCUCGUAUGUAUCUCUCUAUGUUGUUUCUUAUCCUUCCUCACACGAAGAAACACACAGAGCAGUAAAAAAUGGGAGGAUUUGGGAGCUGCUCCGUUUUGGAUAUGGGGGCUGCACGGGCUUGGAGCAGCAAGCCAUGGCAACGAAGGUGAAUAAAACACAUACUUGUACUGUAAAUAAGGUUUUUUCAUAGUGACACCGACAAAGCUUAUGCAUGAGAUAGCGCAUCAUUGAAUUUUGUUAUUCAGUUUUGUAGCAUUUAUGCCAUAGCAAGGUGCAGGAUAAAUGCCCCUCUUGACCUAUUCUAUUUUGGAAUAAGGUUGCGCCAGAUUUUAUUCAAAUGAACAUUGUAAACUAUGUACUGUCAUGUUCUAGAUAUGUCGAAAUUUCAGACCAAACAAGCUUCCUACUUCUCCCCUUCAUGAUCUCUUCAUUUUUUUCUGAAUAUCAUUUAGUUUCCAUUUGUAUUUUUGUGAUUGGUAGAUAAAAGCUUGCGCAGUUGCACUUGGCGUUUAUGUUACUAUAUAUUCAACUAAUUGUACAUGAACCAUCUUAAUAGAUCCAUUAUUUAUCUGUCUCCCUGUACUUAAGGCCUAUGUUGUAAGGUUCAGUGGUCAAUUGGAGUUUUAAUUUCCUAGCUGUAGCUCUAAAUAAGGUUUCCUUUGUUAUGCAGUAUAUCCAUAUUAUAAUUAGAGGAGAGGAGUUGUACUGCCUUGCACAUAAUGCAUUUUAAUUCCUUAUUUCUCACAUCCCGAAAGUCACAUUACAUCUAUGAACCAGAAGAACUAGAGGAAAGUUCCUAGGGAUUUGAUUGAUGGAGGCAUCACUAUUUGGAGCUGGAUUAUCCAUUUUUGCAGCAUCAGCAAUGUUGUUUUUGUUUGGAAUGGCCAGUUCUCAAUUUCUAAAUCGGCUAUACUAUACUUCUUGUCAGGUUACAUUAUCUUGCUUGGUUUCAGUCUAUAUGUAGCACAAAAAUAGGUGACGUGGUUGGUUUGUAUGUUACACUAAGGAACACCACCAUAAGGAAAAGGGCAUGGCACUUUGUUUAUAUUUGGUCUGUUCCUAUUCGGUUUGCUGUAGUACUUGCUACACCAUUUCAAGUUUCUUACUGUUUGCUUCUUGCUGUUUCAUUGUAUUCAGGUAUGAUAUAUUUUUCAACUAUACAAGCACUUGGGUAAGUCAGGAAAACUGAACCAACGACAAACAUUUUACUGGUGAUGUUUUUUAUCUGAGAUGUGAAAGAUGCAUCUUGUCCCCUGAUAUAUUGGCUUAAUCUCUUGAUUUUUUCCCUGACAUGCUAAUAUAGAGCCAGAUAUGCAUGAUUCAUCAUACACAUUACAGCCAAUUAUCCAUUGGUUCUUUUGUCCAUAGAGGUGAUUUUGUUUGGACCAUUAGUCUAGGUAGUGACAUUUUGAUCGAUAAGGCACAAGUUUAUUUUCUUUUUCACUCGGGCUACACUAAAGUAAGCAUCACCGUUAGUGAAAAGAAGGCAUACAAAUCAUGAAGUCUUUGCCUUGGCUAUGUGCCUCGUUUAGUUGUCACUUAUUUAUUUCUGGGAAGUUAUUAAAUUCUCAUCGAGCUUUCCUUAUGCUUUACAUUGCUAAAGAAGAAAUUUAAAUACGCAAUAUUUUUGAUAUCCGAGGAGGUGAGAGGAGAUGAAAAAGGGUUGUAAUGUGUAAGGUUCUACUUUGGCGCGUCUCUGGCCAAUGAUGGCUGGAUCCAUCUGACGCUCUUCCAAGCAGAGCAGUGCAGAUUUGCUGACUAGUACAACAUCUAAACCUUGGCUACUCUAGCUUCUUUUUACAUCUCUUAGUAUCAACAAAUAAGUUGGUUACAGUAUAUACUUGAAGAUUGCAUCAGGCACAAAAUGCUUGGCUAAUCAACCGGUUAAUUGAGUUGUGCCUACGAAGGAUCAGUAGAAUAGUUGGUUUCUUCUAAAAUAAAUGAGGAUUAGUUUGGUUGCCAUGUAACGGUAAGGCCAGAAUGGUGGUACUGAAAAGUGGUUCUGUAAUGGUCAUAUGAGUUGUGCAGUUGGAACUUGAUUCUUUUUAAGUUGGAGUGGCUAGGUUGUUUAUAUGUAUUGCAUUAUUUUUCUACGGCGUGCUGUUCUUUCUAAUGAUUUUUUUAAAAGUUUAGUAUUUAAGUUUACGGCAUUAUUCUGCGGCAUAUUGUUCUUUCUACAACAUACUGUUAAUAUCUUAUUCUUUUCAACAUUACACGGUUAAAACCUUCUGUAUAAGAUCUUGCGCUUUCAACAUCUGCUCAUGGCGCUGUGCGUAUUCUGCUAUGAACUGUUUACAUUAGAGAGUUGUGGUACCUUCAUUUGUAUGGUUCCUUUUAGCUGAUGUUGGUUGCUCAUACUGACAAAAUGUGUGUUAACAAAUGAUUGCAGAGCAGCAGAGAAACGUGUUUCUACGAAUGUGCCAAAACUGAUGGAUUUAACUACAGGUAUUGCACUAUUAUUCUACAGGUAUCGUUGUAUUGCAUUAUCCAACUGUAAGUCUGUUCUAAACUCUAAGCCCGAUGUAAAUGUGAUGGAAGAUUGGGCCAUUUAAUUUGAACCAAAAAGGGUGAUAUGCUCUCAGUUGGUUGAAUCUGUCCAGACCUGAAAAUUAGAUAUACUUUGAAAGCUUGAUGUAUGAGUAGGAGAUAGUUGAUAAAGGUGUACUCUUGUAGGAGAUUAUUACCUGCUUCUAUGUGGUGAACAAAUGAGUAAGCAGUUUAGUUGAUAAAGGUGUAGGCAACACAGCAUUUUUGUUCCAUUUUUUGGUUUGUAAGUCAAGGAUGUUUAGCCUUUGCUGAAUAUGUUAAUUGUGAAACAGUUUUGAUGCAAUUUUUGAACCGUUCAGUCUGUUUUGUUUGUGCAGUUCAUGGUACCAUAUCUGCAGGCUACAUCUUGUGUAGAUUUGGCUACCACAUUAUAUGAUGUUGUUUCACUUUGCUCAGUCAAGGUUUCAGUAAAAAAAUGAAUUGAACAUAUUUUUGUAGACAUACAAAAACGGUCUGCAUUUUUUACAUCACCCUGACAUCCAAUUCAAACUAUAUUUUCUGCCUAGACUGUUGCAUACCUAUGAGAUCAUGGGAUAACUCAGACAUGAGCCGGUGUCCAGUGUGCAGUGAGGGUGAGUAAUGUGGCAUCAGCCUAUUCUGGACCUGUGUAUUAUACUCCUUCCGAUCAAAAUUAAGUGUCGUUGUUUUAGUUCAAAAACCACGACACUUAUUUUGGAUCGGAGGGAGAGCAUUUAAGAGAUUCCUUGCAUACACAUGAUUCAGAAAAGUACAGUGUGGGAUGCCAUUAUAAACUCAUGAAGUCUGAUCCUGGUAGUGACAUGAUUUACUCUGUUUGAUCAAAUAGGUCGAAGCCAAAGCUGUUCUUAUUGAAUCUCAUGAUGCCCCUGAUGCUUGCUGCUGUAAGCAAGAAAAUUGAGUACAAGUUUCAAUGUCAACCUGAGUUUUCAUUGUGGAUGUUUGAGAGUCAACCUGAAUUUUGAAAAGAACUUUUAGGAUGAUUAGCUAUAGUACUGUGACAAAUAAUCAGGAAAGAUAAUUUUGUAGGGUGAUCAUUGUCUUUCAUAAUAAUAUUAUAGCCGUCGGCCAAACAAUGAAGGUUGCACUACAACUACUCGACUACAAGUUUUAUGUGGAGUUUCUCUGUACAGCUUGCACGAACUCAGUGAGAUCAGGAAUCAUAAUUGCUCACAUUUUUUUCUCUUGAAACGGAUGUGUCAUCCCUGCAUUUUUUUUCUCGGAAUCAAGGAUGUUUCAAACAUUGUGUGAGCUCACCUUCAAAAUGUGGGAACAGACCAUGCCCAUAUAUUAUCAAACAAACCAAACAGACAUGUGUAUACUGAACUGUCUUUAGAGACUUAAAUUUCCAUAGAAUGGUUUGCUGUA